Molecule: long non-coding RNA, 5234 nt
Filed under: Pan troglodytes (chimpanzee)
Lineage: Eukaryota; Metazoa; Chordata; Mammalia; Primates; Hominidae
Description: long non-coding RNA NONPTRT013616
Source: RNAcentral
GCCAGGUUAGCCAGAUUGGUCUCAAACUCCUGACCUCAGGUGAUUGCCUGUCUCAGCCUCCCAAAGUGCUGGGAUUACAGGCAUGAGCCACCAUGCCCAGCCAGCUGUAGGGCUUUUUUUUAAGGGUGAUAUAGGUAUUGGGGUCCCACAUAGGUAUCAGGGUCCCACAGCAGACCUCUGGGCCGGGAGCUCUGGGAGCGGGCCCUUAACUGGUCACCCACCCAACUCAACAGCUGAUUUCUGAGGUGCUCUCCUAGCUAAAAGCUGCUAUUUGAAGUAUCCAAAGAAAUAGCCCAGUCAGGGAUGUUAAUAACUUAACUUUAAAAAUGUAUUUCUAUUUUAAAACUUAAUUUGGAACAUAUUUUAAUCAUCCUAGGCUGAUAAAUAGAUUUUGCAAUUUCUCAUGCCAAUAAAAAAGAAUGCUUCAACUUUACAAGAAGUAUUCAGGUUUUGAUAAUCAUUUUUAAAAAAAAAAACCCAAACUCAGAAUGUCUAAGUGUGUGACAGGAAUAUUUAAUAUUUUAUAUUCUCAAGUCAUCACCCCAAGUAUGCCAUCUAAUCCAUAUCUGUAGGGAAAUCUAUUUUUAAAGUAAGUGAUACCUUGGAGGAAAAAUAGAUACAUCAUGAUUACAGUUUUCAUCACACCAUAAUCUUUUAUUUUAGAAUUAAGGAGAAGUAUCCUCAAACAUUUGAUGACAUAUGCCUUUACUCUGAGGUUUCCCAUUUGCUGUCACACUGCACAUUCAGACUUCCGUGUCGGAGGUUCAUACAAGAAUUAUUUCAAGAUGUACAGUUUCUACAAAUGCAUGAAGAAGCAGAGGCUGUGUUGGCAACACCACCAAAGCAACCUAUAGUUGAUACAUCUGCUGAAUCCUGACCUCAUAUUUAUGAUGGAUAUAGAUACAUACUAUAUAUAUUCAUAUUUGUGGAUUUCCUAAAAGCCUCAGAAAAUACGACUGACUAGGCAGCAAAGACAGGAGUAUCUUCUGCACACUGUUCCGCAGUUACUGGUACAUGAACAGUUGGAACUGCUGACUUUCCUAACCAAAACAACUUCCUUCUCUCCUUUGUUGAGCCUUUUGAGGGGUUCAUGAUUCAUUACCACAGUUUUAAGAGUUUUAGUUACCAUUGUAUGCAAGAGCCAAGCACUGAAUACCUACAUAGGUUUUCUAUUUUCUUUCAUUUUAAAAGCAUAAUGACAGUGGAACAAUAAUGGGAUAUGCAGAAGCACCCUUCACAAGUUAUUUCUGAAUGAUUUUUAGGGUAAAUUUACAGAUGCCUUGUUUGUUAACUAAUUUGUGGAAAGCAGGAAUCAGUGUCUCUAAGGCUGCAUCCUGUUACCACAAUGGGGUGUGCUAUAACUGCUGGUAUUAGAGAGGGAACUUUGGCCCUUUCAUGUUUUUCUUAAUGUUUGUAACACUACUUCAGAGGUUUAUAACCUCAAAGCAGAAGAAGAGCCUCAACAACCCGGGACUUAUAAGUUAUUUUUAUGUUACUAGACUUGCAUAAAGAUUCUUGUUUUCCAACUCUUCAUUUUGUUGCAAUGUGUUAUUACAGGAUAUAUGAACCAAUUAAGGUUUUUCACUACAGUUCUUGAAUAAAAUUUAAAAAUCAUUUUUUAUUUUAAUUAAAAAUAUUUCCCAUUUAUAGAAUGCAUAUAUUUGCAAUGGACUUCCACUUUCAUCAACUUUCCAUCUCAUCGCUUUAAACAGGAACUUGAACAAGCACUGUUAGUUUAGACCUAAAGGAUAGGAAAGCAUUAAAUAAUACUUUGGAUCUCCUGAGGAAAAGAUAAGUUUGCUUGCAAUUUACACAUUCCAUGGGGAAAGAAGAGCCAUAUUUCCUUUAAAAAAAAACAUUAAUAAAGCUUGUUAUUAAGAAAAAUUGUAGUGAAAAGCCUUAAGUACCAAAUUUUAAAGCAGCAGUAACUUAAUUUUUAUAUCAGUGUUUUUGUUUUGCACAAACUAAAUGCAGUGGUAGGUGGGUUUAUGAGUAUAUUAAUUGCCUUUAUCCAUUUGUGAAGUUAAGUUGAUGAGGGCAAGGUUUUUGUUUGUUUAAUUUGUAUGUGUCUAAAGGUAUUUGGAACUUUUUACAGGAAUUAAACAUAUAUGCAAAUUUGUAUAUAAAAAUAGCAUGGCCAUCAUUUGAAUGCUUGUAAAUGAAAGGAUUAUCUUUUUUGAGAUCUACAUAUAAAUAGAAAUAGAAAAUCCAGCUGGACUGAUUAGGAUUCUUUUUUAAUUCAUUUGUGUAUAACAUUUUUAUUACAAUUACACAUCAGUUUUGACACAGUCAUAGCAACAUUAAUAUUUUCCCAUGAUGCAGAUCCUUUUUGUAAUGGGCUUGUUCUUUGAGAUCUCUGUAAAGAACCCUGUGAACUAGAAAACAUAACUCACAGAGAUACUUUUUUAAAAAAUUUAUUUACUGGCACUGAAAGUUCCAGUUGGGAUGAAGCAUUUCAUCUCACUUCAUAACACCUCUUUGACUGCACUUCAGUGAAUUGUUCUUAUGUGCACUGUGUAGCAACUUACAUUAUAACAAAGCAGAUAAGGGCUGUAAGCUGCUGCUUAUGUUGAAAAGUGGUUCUUCAGAUUUUCUCUCAUAAAAUCCAAUUGAAGAUAAAUAAUUUUUUUAUACUUUAUCACUGAACCCAAGUGUUUAUUUAAAUGUCAACAGUACUUCUAAGAACGUUGCCUGUCAUCGUGGUCUUUGGUCUUGGAUAACUAAACUGCCUUUCCAGAGAACCAAAUGUCAGAGUUACUAGACCAAAUAGUGGUUAAAACCUCCAAAGGAAGUAAUGUAGUAAUCUUAUUCAUAAUGGGUUUUAGACAUUCAUUUUAAACACUACCUCAGUUAAUAUAGAGUAUAAAAUCUGUGGUUUAAUCCCUCAAAAGUUAACAGUAAUUUUUUUUUGUCUUACACACACACACACACACACACACACCUCCUCCCCCACCAUCACUAUCCCUGUACCCUCACCUUGGUCAUCUAUCCUGAAAUAAGGCUUAGUUAGUGUUGGCCUGAAUGUUUCGUGUUUUUUUUUUUUUUACUGUUACUUUGAAAAAUAUGUAUGUAUACCUUAUCAUAUCUGCCUAUAUCACUUACUUUGGGGAGAUACUCAGAGCUUUGUGGUUAUCAGUAUACUAAAAAAAAAAAAAAAAAAAAGUCUACGCUUAAAUUUAUAGUGCUAUUUGGUUUCUCCAUGAUUUCACUGACAGGUCUAAUACAUUUUCUUUGAGUACUUGUUUGUAAAAAGUAGACUUUAUGGUGAAAAAUACAUGCAGUGCCAAGUGAUUAACUUAGGUGUUUAAAAAUAUUAAAUUAUAGCAGAAGAGGUUAGGAAUGAUAUCAGCAGUAAUAGAAAUAAUUGAGAAAAUCAUCUAUAAAUAAUAGAUAUUACAGACUAUAGAAUACCAAAAUAAUGUCAAUACUGUAGUUUUUAAAGAUUUUAGGAUUAAUCUUAGUCCAUAUAAAUUUGUACUAUUGGUAAUUAUUGAAUAAUUGGGAGGAAUCUGGGCAGUUGUGCUGGUUGUAAACUGUGAAUUUCUAAUCGUAAAGUGAAUUGUUAUUUCUAAUUGAACUUUUUUUCAAGAACAGAUUUCAGCCUCACAUACUAAGUAAAUACUGAUAAAUAAGGAAAUUAGAAAUUUAGUAUUCAUAAUUAAAUAUGCUCUAAAAUUUCUUAUACUUUUAUUUCCUGUUUAUUCUUAGGUAGAUUGGAAGGGGGAAACAGUCUGUUCUCCCUAAUUAAAUUUUUUCUAAUAACGAUUAGUAGAAUAAGGACAUUCUAUAUGACAGUGACAUUAAAAGAGGCUCUUUGGAAGUAUAUACAUUAUUAUAACAUAAUGUGUACAAGUCCUUUUGAAAUGACAACUUUAAUGGGUUUCAGCUCUUUUAUCUAGAGCUCGAGAUAAUUCAAGCUGAGUUUUUCAGGGCAUAUCACAACGGCAAAGUGUUCAGCAGUGGGAUAUCAAUGCUUAUUUACAUUUUCCUACUGCUAUUUAUAUAAAAUGUUAUUUCAUUCCAUUCAGAGGAUGCCUUUUAUCCCCACAUUAAAGCACAGAUCAUUAAGCAAUAAAAACCAAAUUGUCUGUCAUUCAAAUUAUAACUGCAGUUAUUUUUGCAUGGUAAGAGUGAGGUGCUAAUUUUGUGUGAGAUGAACUUUGUAAACUACUUUGGGAAAUGUUCUUUGGAAGUAAGGUUUUUUCCCCUUUAGUCUUAUGCUUCCACUUUUGUCUCGGAUUCACAAUCCAUUAAAACAUGGGGAAAAAAGAAAAGGUAAAAUUGAGAGACUUUUGUUAGAGGAGCUAUUUGGAAUGAACCAACAUUUCAGAUUUUCCAAAAUGUAAGUUAGGAAGUCUUCAUUGUCUCUGCAUUAACAAAAUACACUGUUACUAUCUUAAUCUCAAGAGUGUCAUUACAGUGAGAAUCUCAUUUAAAAGCAUACCAGUGAAAUUAAUAGCAGUGCUUAUCAAAGAACACUGAAAUCUGUGAGAAUCUUUCUAGGAGCAUUCUUUUCUUCUUUUAGUUCCAAGUUCCAGGGUAUUUUUCAUUCCUAGUAGGUUUAUAUGACUCACAGAAUGUGGACUUUUUUCCUGUUUGGAGUAUUUUUGUAAUGUAAGUAUCGGAUAGCUACACCACAGCAUGCAUAAAUUGCACAUUUUGUUUUACUUUCUUUAUAGAAUAUUUAAUUUCAAAAAUAUAAUUUAUGCCAAAAAAAGCAUACCUUUCAAUUUUGCUACUUGGUUGAUUUCGCACAAAAUGCAAAGUCUUGGGGCAGAGAGGGGGAGUGAAAAAAAUUUUAUAGGUAAUUGUUACAAAAAUGCCUGUCAGAAACCCUAAAGCUGCAUUGUAAAACAAAUGGUGUAAAUUAGUUUUGAAAAGUGGUAAGGAAUUGUGAAAAAAAUCUCAGACUUAAUGCUCUCUAACCACAUGAGUUUCUUCUUUUUUAUUUAGUAAUACGCUGCUACAUAUUUGGAGGUUCUGGUGUUUGUAGGUCACUGAACAGACAUUGAAAUCUGAUUUAUAUUGUAUAACUGUAACAUAGAAAGAAAAAGUAUUUAUAUUUUUUCUGUAAGAAUAUUUCAUUGAGUUGUGUAUAAUUUAAAUAAGAUUUGUCCCCAAAUGGUUUUGCUCACCUUGAUUUUUUUUGUUGUGAUUUUCUUGUUUUUGUAUAAUGUGUAUAGUUUAUGUCAAGGGCAUUAAAAGCCUCCUGAAGCAUAAUCUUAUCAAAGGGA